GUAAAAAAUCAUCAAUGUAGAUAUUAUACAACUAAAUACUGAUUGGGAAGAAAAUCGAGUCUUUUCCGUUUGACUUUGAUCUCCUUCUUCUCGAUCAAAAAUUUCGUGGGAUGAUUAACCUACAACUUUAGGUUUGUUUUCCCAUCGAAGACAUAGUUGAAAAACAAUGACUAAAGGAGCGUUACAUAAUAGUAAUUCAUGCUUAGACGCCUCAUAUCAAGGUCUUCAUCCUUACACUAUUAGCCCUUGCAUUAGAUGAAACGAAAGAGUGGAGUAACUCAUGCGCGGUUAAUUGCAUCAAGUGAGACAAUUACAGAAAGGGUCAUCUUCAUGUACACUUGAUGUGAUUUGCUAUUGAAAAUGCAGGCUAUCAACCCUCUUUUUGUCGAGAAAGUAGGAUAGAUCUUUAUGUUCCUCACACAUCGGCUAAUCUAUUGUAUGAAGCAAUAUGAAAAGGAUGCGACAAAGUCAACAAUUCUAGGAUUACAAGGUAGCUUGCAGCAAAAUCUGUGCGACUAUGAUAGCGUGAGUUACAGUGGCUGAAAAUCUAAAAUAUAAUACUUCAGUCAGAUUUGAGUCUGCACAUGGGGCGACUGUAUAGAAUAAAUUUUGUCAAACACUCUUACUUCGUAGACCAUAUCAUUGCUGAAAAUGUUUGUUGGCUUUUCAAUGAGAACUGGGCUUCUCAGUUUGUAAGGAGACGGACCAUUCUUUGUAGCCGUUUUAUAUACAGUUGUCGUCUCGGAUACAAUUGGAGUAUGCAUAUAUAUUUAGUACUGAUGUCACUACAGAGGGAAAAGGAGCUGAUUGUAUAGAUGUAAAUGUAGAUAUAUGAUGUAAUUGUUUCUUGAUUUACUGUGUUUGUAUUGAGUUCUA
Molecule: long non-coding RNA, 876 nt
Organism: Papaver somniferum (opium poppy)
Lineage: Eukaryota; Viridiplantae; Streptophyta; Magnoliopsida; Ranunculales; Papaveraceae
Exons: 5
Source: RefSeq, a predicted model, not a curated record